AAAGGUCACCUUCCGUCGUUUUUUCUUUCAUUUUAAAAUGUCUAGUUGUGGUCUCUAGUAUGAAUGAAUGACAUGUGAGCCGUUUUUGUAAAAAAAAAAGUGCUCAGGUGUCUCUGAAUAGCUCUUUUUUAAUGGACUGUUUUAGGGGUGUGUCCAAAAUGACCGGAUUCCAGCUUUGCUCAUGAAUAUUCAUACAUGCAAACAGCAUGCAAAUAUCUCUCCUCUGAUUGGCUAGGAGCACUGCGACGCCCCUCCACCGCUCUGCCGCUCACUGCCUCCCACCUCCUAACUGAUGAGCGUGAUGUUGCGUCGCUUCAGCUCCGCCUCUGGGAGUUUCUCGAGCCAAGGUGGGCUGGUCUGUGAGUUUCUGCCUACGUAGGCAGAAAGAUAAUUCAAAAUUCACCCGUUUUUCGGAGGGGGGAGGGGGGAUUUCUUUGCUUAGCUCCUGCAGACAAUGGGGGCUGCAAAACAGUUUAAUGUGCAGGUGUACACAUUCAACUCGGAAAGACCUACUGUAUUCCACAAAAAACAAGAAAAAUCGGAUUUUCGCGGAAGGCGAGCUUUAAAUAGAACCUGUCUGACAAUCUGAAGCAGCUAAAAGAUCUCAAAAAGCAACACAUUAUGCCUCAAACUGAAGAAAUUCAAAAACAGAUGAGGAAACAAACUCAUUGGCAUCUGUCAGUCUGGAAAAGAAUGAAACAUUGUGUUGGAUAAAGUUGACAGAUGAGGAAACAAACUCAUUGGCAUCUGUCAGUCUGGAAAAGGAGCUGCAAGAGUCCAUCAACAAAACCUCUCCAUGGACUGCUGCCAUCGUUUCUUGAGAAAGCACACCCAAAAUGCGUGAAAAGGAGUACCCCUCUCUAGAAGUAAGUAAUAUAAUACAGGAAAUUGACAAAUCCUGCACCUAACAGCUGGGGUUAUGCAUAGGGCUCAGCCAGGAUCUACUACUCACUCAACUAACAACAAUAGCAAAACCACCCCAAUCUGAUACUGGCUCGACAAGAAUCCAGAAGCACAGCCAAACACUAUGUUCAUGGUCCAUUGCCUCAACUGCCAAGUAACAGACCUACCAAAAAAUAACCUAUGAACACACAGAAUCCCUCCUUAAUCUAAGCUCACUUCCUUUAACUAUGGCAACAACACACUUACCUAAGCACAAUCACACACAAUAAAUCACAUUAUAAGUUGCGUGAGCAGAACACAGCAACCACUACCACCCGAUACUGGCUCGACAAGAAUCCAGAAGCAUAGCGAACUAUGUUCAUGGUCCGUGCCUCAACUGCCAAGUACUCAGACGUCUACAAAAACUCAUGAGACAAAUUAUUACAAGAGCAGGACCACACCAAUCCCCUUCAUCCAAACUCUAACACAAACUUCAGUGCAAGCUCUUCUCAGGGGUCAUCAGGCAGGCACCUUCCUUCGUCAGUGUUUCGCUGAAUUAGGCCCACGACACCUCCAGAAGGCUCAACAGUGAAGUCUGGCGUCCCAGACCCACCCCCCUCCAAGCCUGCUGUAGAAGCACAAACUCAUUCCCUUCCCCACACAGCCUCAGCCCUUCUAGAAGAACAUUAACCGGAUUGUUCACUGCCAGCAGCUUCCUGCCAACACAGAAUUACUUUGUUAAGAAAGAAUGUGCUGUUUGGCUUUGUGUGCAGAGAGGAACUGGACCGUUUAAUCUGAGUCUAAUCUGAAGAAACACUGUGUUUGCUAAAUUUGACAAGCUGUUUACAAUAGCAGGUAAAAGUUGCUCCUAGAAUGUUCUUUCUCUCA
Long non-coding RNA from Astyanax mexicanus (Mexican tetra), 1770 nucleotides. RefSeq lists it as uncharacterized. The record is from RefSeq and is a predicted model, not a curated record. The transcript has 3 exons. Lineage: Eukaryota; Metazoa; Chordata; Actinopteri; Characiformes; Acestrorhamphidae.